Molecule: ribosomal RNA, 424 nt
Filed under: uncultured Faecalibacterium sp.
Lineage: Bacteria; Bacillati; Bacillota; Clostridia; Eubacteriales; Oscillospiraceae
Description: bacterial SSU rRNA
Rfam family: Bacterial small subunit ribosomal RNA
Source: RNAcentral
CCUACGGGAGGCAGCAGUGGGGAAUAUUGCACAAUGGGGGGAACCCUGAUGCAGCGACGCCGCGUGAGGGAAGAAGGUUUUCGGAUUGUAAACCUCUGUCUUGUGGGACGAUAAUGACGGUACCACAGGAGGAAGCCAUGGCUAACUACGUGCCAGCAGCCGCGGUAAUACGUAGAUGGCGAGCGUUGUCCGGAAUUACUGGGUGUAAAGGGAGUGUAGGCGGGAUCAUAAGUUGCGUGUGAAAUGCAGGGGCUCAACCCCUGAACUGCGCGCAAAACUGUGGUUCUUGAGUGAAGUAGAGGCAGGCGGAAUUCCCGGUGUAGCGGUGGAAUGCGUAGAUAUCGGGAGGAACACCAGUGGCGAAGGCGGCCUGCUGGGCUUUUACUGACGCUGAGGCUCGAAAGCAUGGGGAGCAAACAGGAUU